AAAACAUCUCUUUGUGAUUAAAAUAGUAAGUUGACUCUGCCCAAUGAUUAAUUGAAUGGCUGCAGUAUUUUAACUGUACAAAGGUAGCAUAAUCAAUUGUUUUUUAAAUGAAAUCUUGUAUGAAUGAGGUGAUGAAAUAUAUUCUUUAUUAAAUUUAAAUUUUGAAUUUAAAUUUAAAGUAAAAAUACUUUAAUAAUUUUAAGGGACGAGAAGACCCUAUAGAGUUUAAUAUAAAUAGUUUUUAUUAAUAAUUUAAAAAUUAAAUUAUAUUUAUUUGGGAGGAAUAUUAAAAUUAAAAAACUUUAAUUGAUUAUUAACGUGAAUUAGUGUAUUUAAGAAGUUAUUUUAAUAAUUAAGUUUAAAAUUAAACUACCUUAGGGAUAACAGCGUAAUAUUUUUUAAAAGAUCAUAUUUGAAAAAAUGUUU
RNAcentral lists this ribosomal RNA (426 nucleotides) under Epyris sp. RNAcentral's name for it is "partial large subunit ribosomal RNA". The record is from RNAcentral. Lineage: Eukaryota; Metazoa; Arthropoda; Insecta; Hymenoptera; Bethylidae.